AUGCCAUCGAGCGAGCCAGCCCCUUGCGUGGGCCUAAACAAAGGAGGCCUUUUUGCCGAGGCCUGUAUUACCGGCCUGAUCAGCGCCUGGUCGAGGCCCGCUCCUCUUGUCUCAAAAAAGGAAAUCCAAGUGGUGCUCUGCUUCCUCUGCCUCGCCAUGUCGUUCCCCGGCGCGGUGCUGGCGUCGCCGGUGACGGUGAGGAAGCAAUGGCAGGCCGGGUCAACCAGGAAUCGGACCCUCUCAACUGGUUCACAACCCCAUGCAAUUGCUUUUCUGUUGUUGGCGACCGACAGAUGGGCUUUGGUGGCAGCAACUACGCCCUACGAUGGACCAAAGUCAAAAGGCCGAGAAAGGUAUGAGUUGAAUUGCUGCUCUGCCCCUCUAUUUCUAUCCUCCUCGCCCUCCCGUCCCCUCAUCGCUGAGCGAGGUGAACUAAACGAGCUGCUCGUCCCUCGCACCUGCGGUGCCGAGUGUGGACGGUGCAGGAAGACUGAGCCAGCCUCCUGCAUCCACGAUCUUCCGGAUGGCUUCUACCCCAAGAUCAAAGCACUGUCAGCUACGGUAGGAGAAUUCAUCUUUGUUGAACCAAAAUCCCAGGACUUCAAAGGGAAUUUCGCCAAGGUUCGAGUAAGGAUUGAUGUGACAAAACCUCUCAAGAAUGCAGUCUCACUUGUGAUCAAGAAGAAAGACGUCCUCCAGAGAUGUGGCGAUGGGGUUCACCCACCGAGGGCAUUGGUUUUCAAGGAUCUCAGAGCAUCAUGGUUCAGAGGACCAGGAAGAGGCCUAGGGGAGGGAAGAGGACAAGAUGAUAGUAAUGUCGGGAGAGGAGGCCGUUCUGGUAGAGGACAUGGUAGGGGCUCUUCUCAGGCGAAUUCUGUUGAAGAUGACAACGAGGAAGACACAGCCAACCCUGCUUCUGAUGUGUCCAUGAGUGAUGCAGACAAUAAUAGGAAGAGAGGGGUUAUUGCAAGUGACCCCAAUUCAUCCUUGACAUUGGCGCAUGCUAGCAGUAAUGCAGACAACCCGUUGUUGCUUCCUCCCCCACAGAUACUGCCAAGCCCUUCUUCAGUACAAGAGCCGAAGAGAACCAAGCAAAACUCGAGCACAACUGACAAGAACAGUGGGAAGAACACAGUGGUGACCAAAAAUCUUGAUGCGCGUUUGGCGGGCUCCCAUGGGGGAAGAGAGGCGUGGUUAGAUGGAGAAGCUGGCCCAUCACACACAAGGGCAGAAGAGGGGACGUGGAAGUAUCUAUGGAAAACAACAGUCCCUGUAACUCUUUGGUCCAUUUGGCAUGCCCAAAGGAAAGCUAUCUAUGAAGCAAUAUUUCAGAGCCCUCAAGCAACCCACUGCUUCAUCGAAUGGUACAUGCAAGACCUGGCGAUCAUAAACAAGCCAGUGCAGAACCAAAACAAGAACGGAUCAGCGCCACAGCCAGGCCAUGCAAAACCAAAAAAGCCACCUCUUGGUAAUCACAAGAUCCAUGUUGAUGGGGGCGUCCGUGUAAGGAGGGGUGGUUCAGCGGGAGUGUUCGAUCCCCCCACACUGGAGGCAAUAGCAUGUCGAGAAGCCCUGGCCUUGGCGGAGGACCUCGGUAUUCAUCAGUUCACCGUGGCAUCGGAUUGUCGACAGGUCGUGCUGGACAUCAAUAGAAGCACACGAGGUGUCUACGGUGCAAUCAUCAACAUCAAAGCCUCUACUUUUUCUUGUAACUUUUUUUGA
Molecule: ribosomal RNA, 1722 nt
Filed under: Triticum aestivum (bread wheat)
Lineage: Eukaryota; Viridiplantae; Streptophyta; Magnoliopsida; Poales; Poaceae
Description: partial small subunit ribosomal RNA
Source: RNAcentral